UUGAUCCUGGCUCAGGACGAACGCUGGCGGCGUGCCUAACACAUGCAAGUCGAGCGGGAUAUACCGGUUUAGUUUACUAAGCUGGUAAAUUCAGCGGCGGACGGGUGAGUAACGCGUGAGCAAUCUGCCUUGUACAGGGGGAUAACAGCCGGAAACGGCUGCUAAUACCGCAUAAGGCCACAGUACCGCAUGGUACAGGGGUCAAAGGAGAGAUCCGGUAUAAGAUGAGCUCGCGUUCCAUUAGCUGGUUGGUGAGGUAACGGCCCACCAAGGCAACGAUGGGUAGCCGGCCUGAGAGGGUGAACGGCCACAUUGGGACUGAGACACGGCCCAAACUCCUACGGGAGGCAGCAGUGGGGGAUAUUGCGCAAUGGGGGAAACCCUGACGCAGCAAUUGCCGACGUGGAGGUGAAGAGCUUCGGUCGUAAAACUCUGUGACAGGGGAAGAGAAAGUGACGGUACUGACGAGGAAGCCCGGCUAACUACGUGCCAGCAGCCGCGGUACACGUAGGUGGGCAAGCGUUGUCCGGAAUUACUGGGCGUAAAGGAUGCGUAGGCGGCAGAGUCAAGUCCCGAUGUGAAAGACCUACGGCUAAACUGAUGGGGAUGCAUCAGGAAACUGUCGUGCUUGAGUGCAGGAGAGGAAAGUGGAAUUCCUAGUGUAGCGGUGAAAUGCGUAGAGAUUAGGAAGAACACCAGUGGCGAAGGCGACUUUCUGGACUGUAACUGACGCUGAGGCACGAAAGCAGUGGGGAGCGAACAGGAUUAGAUACCCUGGUAGUCCACGCCGUAAACGAUGGAUACUAGGUGGUAGGGGGGUAUCGACCCCCCCCUGUGCCGGAGUUAACGCAAUAAGUAUCCCGCCUGGGGAGUACGGCCCGCAAAGGUUGAAACUCAAAGGAAUUGACGGGGGCCCGCACAAGCAGCGGAGCAUGUGGUUUAAUUCGAAGCAACGCGAAGAACCUUACCAGGGCUUGACAUCCCUCCGACGGGCAUAGAGAUAUGCCGUUUCAGCAAUGGACGGGGGAGACAGGUGGUGCAUGGUUGUCGUCAGCUCGUGUCGUGAGAUGUUGGGUUAAGUCCCGCAACGAGCGCAACCCUUAAUCAACAGUACAGCAAGUAAAGUGGGGAACUCUGAAGAGACCUGCGGGAGAACUCGGAGGAAGGUGGAUGAACGCUCAAAAUCAAUCAUGCCCCUUAUGUCCUGGGCUACACACGUGCUACAAUGGCCUGAAACAAAGGGAAGCGAAGGCGCAAGCCGGAGCGGAACCCAGAAAGCAGGUCUCAGUUCGGAUUGUGGGCUGCAACCCGCCCACAUGAAGUCGGAGUUGCUAGUAAUCGCGAAUCAGCAUGUCGCGGUGAAUGCGUUCCCGGGCCUUGUACACACCGCCCGU
RNAcentral lists this ribosomal RNA (1394 nucleotides) under uncultured Caldicoprobacter sp. Its description in RNAcentral is "bacterial SSU rRNA". It matches the Rfam family "Bacterial small subunit ribosomal RNA". Lineage: Bacteria; Bacillati; Bacillota; Clostridia; Caldicoprobacterales; Caldicoprobacteraceae. The record is from RNAcentral.